This 72-nucleotide transfer RNA is filed under the name Oligolepis acutipennis (sharptail goby). Its description in RNAcentral is "tRNA-Val". It matches the Rfam family "tRNA". From Rfam's summary of the family: Transfer RNA (tRNA) molecules are approximately 80 nucleotides in length. The record is from RNAcentral. RNAcentral also lists the same sequence under 1 other name. Lineage: Eukaryota; Metazoa; Chordata; Actinopteri; Gobiiformes; Gobiidae.
CAGAGCGUAGCUAAAAUAGAAUGGCAUCUCCCUUACACCGAGAAGGUACCUGUGCAAACCAGGUCGCACUGA